AUCACUGCCCCCACGUGUUCUCCGCUAUCUAGCGGCGCGGCGCUCUCUCGGUACUGACCCUCCGAGCUCGGACUCUACCUGCACUGCAGCCCUUCAUCCCGGUACCAGUGUCAGAUGCGAGAUCCCGUGGCUAAGUAAGAAAUCCAAUUUCACUGAGGACAAGCAGAAGGCCGGGCGCUUGCUUUUCCAGAGCAGAAAGGAAACUGAUGCAUCAGAAAAGGUUACCUGUUCAGAACAUUGCUUACAGAAAUAUUUAAAAAUGACACAGAGAAUAUCCAUGAGAUUUCAGGAAUAUCACAUUCAGCAGAAUGAAGCCCUGGCAGCCAAAGCAGGCCUCUUAGGCCAACCACGGUAGAGGCCGGAGGCACGGACUUGCACUGAGAGAUUGCCAGCAGCUGUCACAGUCAGAACAAGGAUUCGUCUGGUGGAGAAUCCCCUGACACAGCAAGCGCCGUGGUACAUCAUCUGUCAUGACUACCUGGCCAACGGAAACCACCGGAGAAAAAAUCACUGUUCACCAGAAAGAGUCAAAACAGAAGGCCUUUCUGUGCAGUAGAAAUGGUAAGAUGCAGUGUUGUUGAGGCCUUAAGAUUCGUCUGCGUGGUCACCAUGAUUGCAAAAAUAAACCACUGUUCUUUUCUUUGUGACUGUUAAUUUUAAAAGCAAAAUAUGUGUCCAAUCAUGUAUGAGAUAGAAAAAAUUUAUUACUAAAAGUAAAAUAAGUGAAAAUAUCAUU
This 736-nucleotide long non-coding RNA is filed under the name Rattus norvegicus (Norway rat). RNAcentral's name for it is "long non-coding RNA NONRATT025093". Lineage: Eukaryota; Metazoa; Chordata; Mammalia; Rodentia; Muridae. The record is from RNAcentral.